UCCACCUCUAUAGCCCCACUCCCUACAAUGGAGGGCUCCCAGUAGCCUCUGCCAUCUUGCCCUGAACAGAUAGCCGGUCUGCUCAUCACAUGACUGUUACUUGGGGUCUGACCUUGUACCAAGAUUGUAUCCCUGAGUCUUCCAGCUUCAUGGUUGGUGUCCUGUAUUCCUGCAACAGAGACCCUUGUCCUGAUGACUCAUUCAGUGCCUCAGCCCGUCUGUGGCCAGUCCCAUGGGUUCUUAGAUUUUAAUGGCUUUCUCCCUGAUUUGACAGCGCCCUAAACCUACUAAUCUAUAUUGGGCCUGAAGAAGGAGGUAAAUGGAAAGAUUGUGAGUGGUGAAGACACCAAGGGGGAGGUCCAAGCAAAUCAUCCAGGAGAACAGGCUUAAGAAGGUGAACCUGGCUGCUGUCUCCAUGAGCUGUGUUUAUCCCUGGGAAGUGGAAGACUCUUGGUCAGUCACCUAUAGCAGGAAGCAUGAAUUCUGGAGAGGUGACCCUGCCCCGAGAAGGACCACACAGAUCCUUCUGGGGAUCCUUGCCCCUCCCUCCCCUGGCCUAGAGCACAGCUCCAGCUACUUCACAGACAAGGAGGUACCACUAUAGAAUUUCUAACUGCACAUUCUCUUGAAAAGGCAGAUGACCUUGAAAUCAUUUAGAAGGGCAGGAGCAAAGCACCUGAGCAUCAUUUGAGGGGAUGACAAGGCCAACAUCCUGAAGUGUCCUCACCACGUGGAGGAACAUACCAGUUUUCUUCUCCCUUUGCAAGAUGCUCAUACCUAUUCAUGUCUUAAGAGGACUGGAGCUAACUUCCCUGGUCUGUACUACAUUCCUCAGAGGAAAGACACAACUAAAAUGUGAGAAAUGGGUGCAAGAUCAUUAUCUGAUUGCUUGGGAUUCAAUUCAUGAAAUCUUGAGUCACACUUGGACCAUGAGAAAAGUACAUGGACAGGCAGGACACUGCUGACCCACAAUCAAUACACAAUAACUGUACAUUUGACUAAUAUAUGGGCUUUCUAUUUAGAUAUCUUUAAGGAACUGUAACAAAAGUGCUGGUUUUAACAGAAUUCAUUCAUGUGUUCAUUCAUAAAUUCAUUUACAAAAAACUUGUUUUGAGCAAUUAUUAUAUACAAGUGUUUAUGUGUGAGUGAAAACCACAAAAGGUCUGCAAUCAAGGACUGUAGAGUCCAUUGGAUUUAGUGACUUUAUUUACAAGAUGUAAUCCUAUUGAAACACUUAUUUUGCUAGAUAACUCUCCUUUUGUUUCUGUUCCCCAUGACUUUCAUUCUAUGGUACCUUAGAAAUUAUUUACGGAAGCUGUUUUUGUGACUAACUACCAGAGGCAGAUUUAUCCAGACAGGAAUAAAACUUUAAUUUCAGAGACUCUGUUUUUUACAUAGGUCCCUUCCAAGAUUCUCAGAGGGAUCCUAGAAGUGUAUUUAUAUGGUCAUGGAUUUUGUGAAAUUUGCCAUGAUAAGGUAUUUUAAUCGCAAUUAAGACUACUCUGCCUUUCCAGUUCUGAAUUUCCCUGUGUCAUUCUGUUGCUCAGCUCAGAUGGUAAUGACAUAGAAAUAAUAUAGGCAUAUAGGUGUAUGCCUGCAGCUCACUGAAAUAACUCCCCCAGAGCUAGACAUGAAGUUUCAAGAAGGUAAGUUUUGUGUAUGCAAAGUGAGUGAGGCAGAGGAGAAACAAAUUUUAAAAGGUUGGCAGCCCAAAGUUAGUCUAUGAAAAAUUCUUUUUUCUUUUAUUAAAUCAUAACUGUAUACAUUUAUGAGGUACAAUGUGCUGACUUGGUAUAAAAUAUGGAAUGCUUACAUUCAAAUGUACAAAAAUUGUAAGCAAUAGAUUUAAUUCUCAUUAAUGUUUAUUAAAAGAUUGCUUCUUCAUAUGACAAGAAUAUUAUAUCGAGAGAGAGAACUUUACCUUUGUAAAUGCAUCAUACAGCUUUUUCUUUGUGUUUACAGGAACUGCAUAAACUAUAAUUUUCAAAGUUUUUAUAUUUGUAGGACACAAACUAUGGUGGUCUAUAAAUGGACAAUACAUCUAUGUGACAUGUUUUAUGCAUCCUAAGGUAUUAGUAUGCUAUUAUCAUUAAUAGUUAUGAAGCUGAAAUAAACUUUUAUAAACGACCAAGUAUAAAACAUAAAUUUUGAGCAAAUAUGCUGGAGGCAAAUUAAAUUGCUUUAAAUAAAGUUUUUCUAUGGGAAAUGAUAUUAUAAUAUUCUUAUCAUAUGAAGAGGCAAUCAGAACAGCAGCCAAAAAAUGUAUGACAGAAAGUAUUAUACAGAUAUGUCAGUUAUUACUAUUAAUUAAUACAAGUAUUAUGUUGG
Long non-coding RNA from Nycticebus coucang (slow loris), 2328 nucleotides. RefSeq lists it as uncharacterized. Lineage: Eukaryota; Metazoa; Chordata; Mammalia; Primates; Lorisidae. The record is from RefSeq and is a predicted model, not a curated record. The transcript has 7 exons.